RNAcentral lists this non-coding RNA (156 nucleotides) under Acidomonas methanolica. RNAcentral describes it as "6S RNA". It matches the Rfam family "6S / SsrS RNA". From Rfam's summary of the family: E. coli 6S RNA was the first non coding RNA to be sequenced, but its function was unknown until recently. It consists of 184 nucleotides that fold into an extended hairpin structure with a large single-stranded internal bulge. The record is from RNAcentral. Lineage: Bacteria; Pseudomonadati; Pseudomonadota; Alphaproteobacteria; Acetobacterales; Acetobacteraceae. RNAcentral also lists the same sequence under 1 other name.
GUGGGACUGCCCGGUGCGUCAGGCAACUCAACCCCUGGGCCGAUAAGCACUUCCUCGGGAGCUGGCUCUGUCGUGGCCGUGGUCACGUUACCCGGUGCCCACCUGCACUUGCAGGUCCGGGAGGGCUGAAAGACCAACGGCCAUGGUGGUCCCACA